Non-coding RNA from Xyrichtys novacula (pearly razorfish), 364 nucleotides. Lineage: Eukaryota; Metazoa; Chordata; Actinopteri; Labriformes; Labridae. The record is from the annotation of a GenBank genome assembly.
CACAGUUUAAAUGAUCCUGUUUUCUCUGUGACAGAGGCAGCAGCACUUUAAUUAGAAUUAUAACUGUUUGUCUUUUAUGAGUGUUUUCAGUAAAGAAUCACAGACUCCGUGGUGAGUACGCACUGCAGCUACUGUCAGUUUGCAUCGACUUUGACCGCCGGUAAAUUCAGUAUGAAUCAGUUUGUCAGGAUAAAACUGGACUUUUCAUUAAGUCUGCUGUAGUAAUCAUUAGUCUGUAUUGUCCUCACUUCCUCUUCACUCUUCCCUCAGGAAAACAGGGGACAGAAGGAAGGUAGAGCCUUUCAGCAGAACCGGACCAAGCCUCCUCACUUCUUCAAUAAUUUCAGUUUUCAGUUUCCAUGAG